ACUUAAAUAAUUUAAAUUUAAAAUAUUAGUUUGUGGUACUAAAAAUAUGAAUAAUCAUUUUAAGUU
Molecule: transfer RNA, 66 nt
Filed under: Zeuzera multistrigata
Lineage: Eukaryota; Metazoa; Arthropoda; Insecta; Lepidoptera; Cossidae
Description: tRNA-His
Source: RNAcentral